This is a non-coding RNA of Aedes albopictus (Asian tiger mosquito), 58 nucleotides long. Lineage: Eukaryota; Metazoa; Arthropoda; Insecta; Diptera; Culicidae. The record is from Rfam.
UAGCCUAGUGGUUAAGGCUAUGGAUCGCCAAUCCGGACAUGGCGGGUUCAAUUCCCGU